Molecule: ribosomal RNA, 467 nt
Filed under: uncultured bacterium
Lineage: Bacteria
Description: partial 16S ribosomal RNA
Rfam family: Bacterial small subunit ribosomal RNA
Source: RNAcentral
GAUGAACGCUGGCGGCGUGCUUAACACAUGCAAGUCGAACGGAAAGGCUCCUGCUUGCUGGGGUACUCGAGUGGCGAACGGGUGAGUAACACGUGGGUGAUCUGCCCUGCACUUCGGGAUAAGCCUGGGAAACUGGGUCUAAUACCGGAUAGGACCACAUUUUGGAUGGUGUGGUGGAAAGUUUUUCGGUGUGGGAUGAGCUCGCGGCCUAUCAGCUUGUUGGUGGGGUACUGGCCUACCAAGGCGUCGACGGGUAGCCGGCCUGAGAGGGUGUACGGACACACUGGGACUGAGAGACGGCCCAGACUCGGAAGUGAGGCAGCAGGGGGGAAUAUUGGACAAUGGGAGAAAGCCUGAUGCAGCGACGCCGCGGGGGGGAUGAGGGCCUUUGGGGUGUAAGAUCCGUUCGAGAGGGACGAAGCGUUGUUGUGACGGUACCUAGAGAAGAAGCACCGGCUAACUACGUG